Molecule: ribosomal RNA, 531 nt
Filed under: uncultured bacterium
Lineage: Bacteria
Description: partial 16S ribosomal RNA
Rfam family: Bacterial small subunit ribosomal RNA
Source: RNAcentral
UGGGGAAUAUUGCACAAUGGGCGAAAGCCUGAUGCAGCAACGCCGCGUGAGUGAUGAAGGCCUUCGGGUUGUAAAGCUCUGUCUUUUGGGACGAUAAUGACGGUACCAAAGGAGGAAGCCACGGCUAACUACGUGCCAGCAGCCGCGGUAAUACGCAGGUGGCAAGCGUUGUCCGGAUUUACUGGGCGUAAAGGAUGCGUAGGCGGAUUUUUAAGUGAGAUGUGAAAUACCCGGGCUUAACUUGGGUGCUGCAUUUCAAACUGGGAAUCUAGAGUGCGGGAGAGGAGAAUGGAAUUCCUAGUGUAGCGGUGAAAUGCGUAGAGAUUAGGAAGAACACCAGUGGCGAAGGCGAUUCUCUGGACCGUAACUGACGCUGAGGCAUGAAAGCGUGGGUAGCAAACAAGAUUAGAUACCCUGGUAGUCCACGCCGUAAACGAUGAGUACUAGGUGUAGGAGGUAUCGACCCCUUCUGUGCCGCAGUUAACACAAUCAAGUACUCCGCCUGGGAAGUACGAUCGCAAGAUUAAAACU